UUUCGGGGUGAGCGGUGGACGGGUUAGUAACGCGUGGGAAUAUACCCUUUGGUACGGAAUACCCUCUGGAAACGGAGAGUAAUACCGUAUGAGCCCUUCGGGGGAAAGAUUUAUCGCCAAAGGAUUAGCCCGCGUUAGAUUAAGUAGUUGGUGGGGUAAUGGCCUACCUAGCCUACGAUCUAUAGCUGGUUUUAGAGGAUGAUCAUCAACACUGGGACUGAGACACGGCCCACACUCCUACGGGAGGCAGCAGUGGGGAAUCUUGGACAAUGGGCGCAAGCCUGAUCCAGCCAUGCCGCGUGAGUGAUGAAGGCCUUAGGGUCGUAAAGCUCUUUCGCCUGUGAAGAUAAUGACGGUAGCAGGUAAAGAAACCCCGGCUAACUCCGUGCCAGCAGCCGCGGUAAUACGGAGGGGGUUAGCGUUGUUCGGAAUUACUGGGCGUAAAGCGCACGUAGGCGGACUGGAAAGUAUGGGGUGAAAUCCCAGGGCUCAACCCUGGAACUGCCUCAUAAACUAUCAGUCUAGAGUUCGAGAGAGGUGAGUGGAAUUCCGAGUGUAGAGGUGAAAUUCGUAUAUAUUCGGAGGAACACCAGUGGCGAAGGCGGCUCACUGGCUCGAUACUGACGCUGAGGUGCGAAAGUGUGGGGAGCAAACAGGAUUAGAUACCCUGGUAGUCCACACCGUAAACGAUGAAUGCCAGUCGUCGGGUAGCAUGCUAUUCGGUGACACACCUAACGGAUUAAGCAUUCCGCCUGGGGAGUACGGUCGCAAGAUUAAAACUCAAAGGAAUUGACGGGGGCUCGCACAAGCGGUGGA
RNAcentral lists this ribosomal RNA (816 nucleotides) under Ruegeria sp. BL54. RNAcentral describes it as "bacterial SSU rRNA". It matches the Rfam family "Bacterial small subunit ribosomal RNA", at positions 84 to 936 of the family's 1533-position model. Lineage: Bacteria; Pseudomonadati; Pseudomonadota; Alphaproteobacteria; Rhodobacterales; Roseobacteraceae. The record is from RNAcentral.